This 368-nucleotide transfer-messenger RNA is filed under the name Daejeonella lutea. RNAcentral describes it as "Standard tmRNA". It matches the Rfam family "transfer-messenger RNA". Rfam says of the family: Bacterial tmRNA, also known as 10Sa RNA or SsrA, is named for its dual tRNA and mRNA-like properties. Its role is to liberate the mRNA from a stalled ribosome. The record is from Rfam by way of RNAcentral. Lineage: Bacteria; Pseudomonadati; Bacteroidota; Sphingobacteriia; Sphingobacteriales; Sphingobacteriaceae.
GGGCCCGACCGGAAUUGACAGGAUGGAGAUAGGUAUGUAAGCAUGCAGCGCGUUGUGAGACUAGCGCUUAAAUCUGAACUCUCAAACCACAAUUGGCGAAAAUAACUACGCCUUAGCUGCCUAAUUUAGAAUUAGCAUAGCUUUUGUCCCGCUAGGUUCCGCUUUGUAGCUUAGCACCAGGGGCAUCGAACAACAAAGCUGGCCAGGGUUUAAUGGUGUGAUAACCCGGCAAGAUAAGACACCUACGGAAGAAGGUACAGGCGAGCGGUUGGCCUUCCCCUUCCCGACAAUAAAAUAACUGCUAAGCACGUAGAAAGCAUAAUUUGUCCCAUGUUUGGACGAGAGUUCGAAUCUCUCCGGGUCCACUU